GACGAACGCUGGCGGCGUGCUUAACACAUGCAAGUCGAACGGAAAGGCCCUGCUUUUGUGGGGUGCUCGAGUGGCGAACGGGUGAGUAACACGUGAGUAACCUGCCCUUGACUUUGGGAUAACUUCAGGAAACUGGGGCUAAUACCGGAUAGGAGCUCCUGCUGCAUGGUGGGGGUUGGAAAGUUUCGGCGGUUGGGGAUGGACUCGCGGCUUAUCAGCUUGUUGGUGGGGUAGUGGCUUACCAAGGCUUUGACGGGUAGCCGGCCUGGGAGGGUGACAGGCCAAAUUGGGACUGAGAUACGGCCCAGACUACUACGGGAGGCAGAGGUGGGGAAUAGUGCACAAUGGGCGGAAGCCUGAUGCAGCAACGCCGCGUGCGGGAUGACGGCCUUCGGGUUGUAACCCGCUUUCGCCUGUGACGAAGCGUGAGUGACGGUAAUGGGUAAAGAAGCACCGGCUAACUACGUG
Molecule: ribosomal RNA, 468 nt
Filed under: uncultured bacterium
Lineage: Bacteria
Description: partial 16S ribosomal RNA
Rfam family: Bacterial small subunit ribosomal RNA
Source: RNAcentral